This 383-nucleotide unclassified non-coding RNA is filed under the name soil metagenome. RNAcentral's name for it is "partial contains 5.8S ribosomal RNA, internal transcribed spacer 2, and large subunit ribosomal RNA". The stretch from base 1 to 120 matches the Rfam family "5.8S ribosomal RNA", at positions 35 to 154 of the family's 154-position model. The record is from RNAcentral.
GAUGAAGAACGUAGCGAAAUGCGAUACGUAGUGUGAAUUGCAGAAAUACGUGAACCAUCGAAUCUUUGAACGCACCUUGCGCUCCCUGGUAUUCCGGGGAGCACGCCCGUUUGAGUGUCAUGGUAUUCUCAACCUUCAUAACUUUUGUGACUGAAGGCUUGGAUGUGGAGGUCGUGCUGGCUCUCGCGAGUCAGCUCCUCUGAAAUGCAUUAGCGUGAACGUUUACGGAUCGCUAUCAGUGUGAUAAUUAUCUGCGCUGUUAGUGUUGAAGUAUGUCUAGUGUCGCGCUUCUAACCGUCCUUCAGUUGGACAACUUAUCUGACAUCUGGCCUCAAAUCGGGCGGGACUACCCGCUGAACUUAAGCAUAUCAAUAAGCGGAGGA